This 1158-nucleotide unclassified non-coding RNA is filed under the name Hevea brasiliensis (rubber tree). The record is from RNAcentral. Lineage: Eukaryota; Viridiplantae; Streptophyta; Magnoliopsida; Malpighiales; Euphorbiaceae.
CUUCAAUCACUACGUUGUGGAUGUUAUUCCCUGGAAACAAUCAAAAGUUAUGAUUUUCCAAUGUAGAGUGUUCAAGUUGAUCACCCUUACGCAUCGUGAAUUACAAGUAGUAAAGAUACAUGCUAAAAUUCAACUGAUUUUUCUUAGCCUGUCUCUACUGUAAUAUCAUGCUAAAAAGCUUAAACGAUUAGAGAGAACACACAUUUAUUUACCUAACUAUGUCUUGAUCAGCACAAGAACCGGAGUUUCUUACUUGACAAUGAGCUUGGCUCUAGCAUGACCUCUGUUUAUCUGAAAUUGCUCUGUGAUGCCAAGAUGUGCCAUAAGAAGCCAGACAUGAGUAAGAAGCUCUCCUCCUUUACGUAGCUGUUGAGCGUGAUGGUUCCCUCUGCAAUGUGUAGCAGCAUACGCAAGCAUUUCCACCCAUACUUCACUGAUGAUUUCCCAUUUUCUCUGAUUACCCUUUGCUUUCAAUGAUUUGGCAAGUAUGCACGCAUCAAACAACACGCUCUUGCUCCUAUCCCCUUUCACUUUUGCAGGUCCAACUUCAGUAUUCACUGUUAGCAACUUGCGACUAGCUAUAGUUAAGUCUUUUCCGACUUUCCUCUCUGUAAAAAACUCUUUGGCUUCAGCACAUGUGUCUCUAAAUCUGAUCAUCCCAAGUCCUAUUGGCAGCAUAAAGGGACACACUACUAAAAGAUACAACAUAUAAUCUGAUAACUGCUUGCUUUGUUUGGAUUCGAUGGAACGAGUACCACUACUAUCGUCAGUGUAAUAGCAUAGAUCAGUAGCAAUGUGCCAAAUAAGGAAACUUUGAUCAAAUUCUAACUCGGUCGACCAAACUAGGGAAGAACAGCCAUUUCCUUUAAGUGCUUCAGUGCCUCUACUUGUGCAUAAGACUGGAUGAUCAUGCUUGUUAUUACUUUCUCCGGCAAACUUUUUGAAAUGGUCAAAGAUCAGCUUUUUUAACCCUGGGGUGACUAGUUCAUCCUUCUUGUACUUGUGUUUUUCCAAGAGCUCAUUGAUUCGGAAGAGUUUUUGGAACCAGUAGCACCGUGGGGGCUUGAACUCAACACAGUAGCUCAACAAAUUGUAUUGCAGUGUGCCAUUGGACCACCUCAUAUUAGUUGAUCUUCGCAGACACAGCUUUUUGAGGAG